GCCCGUGUGGCGAAAUUGGUAAACGCAGCGGUCUUUAAAACCGAAGCUGACUAGGCAAUUGCGGGUUCGAAUCCCGCCGCGGGCA
Molecule: transfer RNA, 85 nt
Filed under: Arenimonas composti TR7-09 = DSM 18010
Lineage: Bacteria; Pseudomonadati; Pseudomonadota; Gammaproteobacteria; Lysobacterales; Lysobacteraceae
Rfam family: tRNA
About the family: Transfer RNA (tRNA) molecules are approximately 80 nucleotides in length. Their secondary structure includes four short double-helical elements and three loops (D, anti-codon, and T loops).
Source: Rfam by way of RNAcentral